UAAAAGUGAGAUGGAUUGAUUGCUUACUU
RNAcentral lists this non-coding RNA (29 nucleotides) under Mus musculus (house mouse). Lineage: Eukaryota; Metazoa; Chordata; Mammalia; Rodentia; Muridae. The record is from RNAcentral.